AUAAUAGUGUCAAUGAACACAAAUCCAACAGGCCCCAUCAUUCUUCAAUCACAAGCAUCUUGGAACUUGUCAAGUUUAACUGGAAAUGAUUCGCAGUUCAUUAAUUCAACUGACACUUUAUUCCUGCAAAUUCUUGACUUGUAAUAUUAUAAUCAAGCUACUACAAGGGAACAUUAAUCAGUUUGUGGAAAGGGAGCACUUCCUUCGAGGGUGAGCCAUGAAGUACCCAGGCCUGAAGAUAAAGACCUCUGUGAAGCAGAGCUAAUGAAUUCGUACAACCUGGUUCCUCUUCAUCGAUGCUAGGAACAUACAGAUGCUUCAUUUUUUAUGCCACUAAGUGUUGCUUUGGGAAAGAAAGAGAGAGAGAAAUUUAUCAAUGAAUUCUUGGGGGCUUGUGCAGCUCAGAGAAUGGGUAUGAGUCAUGGAGAAUUCCUUUAAGUGGAUUCAAAUCCACUUGUUUGGAAAUGAAAAAAAGUCACUGUCACCUGUUUAGUCAUUGACCUUUGUCUGCAUACAGUUGCUGCUUUUACUGCAUUUCUUGAGACUACCAUUAUUAGCUUUGUAAUAAGCAAUUUGUAAAAAUUGAGUUUAUAAUUCAAUUUCAGAGGUAAAAUCUGUGUGGAUAUAGCUAUUGAAUGAUUUGAUUCUCUGACUUGUUAGAUGAUGACAUUAUCACUUCCAAACUGAGAUCCAUUUCUAUGUGGAAUUAGCCACCCUAUGGCUUCUCAGAUCACACAGAACCUUGGUUACACGCUCCAAGAUCUCCACUAUGAUAUUCUUAAUGCCUCUGUGUUCACUUAGAAGUAAACAAGUGAUCUCAUAGUUUUAAAUUAUAGUUCUCUCCCACUUGCUUCUCUUUUUUUCAAAGAUUUGAGUUAUAAGGUAAGAAUGAGGUCAUCAGACAUUUUCAAUUUGAUCAUAGUUUCAGAGUAUUCAAGAGAGUCACGUAUCCAUAUGUUCUUAUGAAGUCUUCUGUCUAAUCUUUUGUUGUCACAGUUUUAGGAAUUAGCCCUAAAUGAAUGAGUGGAAGUAAUUAGAUCAAACCAAUGGUAGUCUAGAAGAAAAGUGAGACGAGAAAGAAGCAGGGAUCGUUUUUCUUGUGCUUCAAAGAUGUUUCUCUUCCUACAUGAUCAUCUUGGUGGUUGUCUCCAAGAUGCACCAAGAGCUACUAAAUAAUAAUCCAAGUUCUCAACUCUAGGAUCACAGCCAGUCCUUUAUGAGAACUAGCUCUUGGCAUAAGCACUGAAAUUGAAUAAUAGAAAAGUGGCCUACCACCAUGUGACUUACUCUCAAUUGCAAGGCAAUGAAAACGUGCAACUUGAAGAAAAGUUCAUUUUUGAAGUCUAAAGAGAACUUAAGCACAAAGACACUCUGUAACAUACAGUGAGGUGGUUGACUGUGGGGACAAAGGAGCAAUAAACAGUCCUCUUGGACAAGGCUUAUGGGAAAG
RNAcentral lists this long non-coding RNA (1450 nucleotides) under Oryctolagus cuniculus (rabbit). RNAcentral's name for it is "lncRNA (ENSOCUG00000035732.1)". Lineage: Eukaryota; Metazoa; Chordata; Mammalia; Lagomorpha; Leporidae. The record is from RNAcentral.